AGCCUUUAGCUAAACAAGUAUUAAAGGUCCCGCCUGCCCAGUGAAACUUUUAAACGGCCGCGGUAUUCUAACCGUGCAAAGGUAGCGUAAUCACUUGUCUUCUAAAUAAAGACCUGUAUGAACGGCUAAAUGAGGACAAACCUGUCUCUUAUAACCAAUCAGUGAAACUGAUCUACCAGUACAAAAGCUGGUAUAAACACAUAAGACGAGAAGACCCUGUGGAGCUUAAGACAAAACGCCAAUGUAAAACUAAACAUGACGCAAAGUCUUCAGUUGGGGCGACUUCGGAAAAAAAUAAAACUUCCGAGCAAAGAUCUACAAUAUCUUAUCAAGGCUAACAAGCCCGAUAUAAAACUGACCCGGCCACGCCGAUUAACGAACCAAGUUACCCCAGGGAUAACAGCGCCAUCUUCUUUUAGAGUCCCUAUCGACAAGAAGGUUUACGACCUCGAUGUUGGAUCAGGACACCCAGGUGGUGCAGCCGCUACCAAAGGUUCGUUUGUUCAACGAUUAACAGUCCU
This 521-nucleotide ribosomal RNA is filed under the name Eutropis macularia (bronze grass skink). RNAcentral describes it as "partial 16S ribosomal RNA". It matches the Rfam family "Bacterial large subunit ribosomal RNA", at positions 1817 to 2597 of the family's 2925-position model. The record is from RNAcentral. Lineage: Eukaryota; Metazoa; Chordata; Lepidosauria; Squamata; Scincidae.